GAGAAGAACGCAGCGAAAUGCGAUAAGUAGUGUGAAUUGCAGAAUUCAGUGAAUCAUCGAAUCUUUGAACGCACAUUGCGCCCCUUGGUAUUCCAUGGGGCAUGCCUGUUCGAGCGUCAUUUGUACCUUCAAGCUCUGCUUGGUGUUGGGUGUUUGUCUCGCCUCUGCGUGUAGACUCGCCUUAAAACAAUUGGCAGCCGGCGUAUUGAUUUCGGAGCGCAGUACAUCUCGCGCUUUGCACUCAUAACGACGACGUCCAAAAGUACAUUUUUACACUCUUGACCUCGGAUCAGGUAGGGAUACCCGCUGAACUUAAGCAUAUCAAUAAGCGGAGGA
Molecule: unclassified non-coding RNA, 336 nt
Filed under: soil metagenome
Description: partial contains 5.8S ribosomal RNA, internal transcribed spacer 2, and large subunit ribosomal RNA
Rfam family: 5.8S ribosomal RNA (bases 3-119)
Source: RNAcentral